AGGUGUCAAAAGCCAAUUUGGACUUUUCUUCUUAUGAAACCUUUAUUAGCCUUUAAUAAAAAAAAAAAAAAUUUAAAAAAUAAUGAAAUGAUCAUAUAUGGCAAAGGGUGGCCAGCCAUGUGGUGUUUUAGAGUGGUGUGAACCCAAUUCUAUAAAGUUUAACUCCCAUUUUAAUUAAGAAGUCAAGUGGGCAAGUGGGUAGAAAAGCACUCAAGUGUUUUGUGAUAUUUUGAAGAGUUGUGUGAGCCAUUCUAACCCCCAAAUCCGACCACUCUCCCUCUCUCAUUCACUCUCAUCUGAUUUUUUAAGACCAUUCAAAGUGUUCUCUCAAUAUUCAACCUCAAGAACACCAAGGAAAACUUGGAGGCUAAGUCUUGGUCUAGGAAGUAUUUUCCCUAAGUUGGUUAGGGUUUUUGAAAGGUUUUGGAGGAGCCAAAGCUAAUAGGAAGGUCCAAACCUUAAGCAAGAACACCAAAGAGGUAAGUGCAAGGGCAAGGCAGAGCAGUGAGCGCUGGAGUCUUCCUUGCAAAUGUACAUGUGGACCGACCUUUUGGGAAGCCGUUUUAUUUUUGGAAAUGUUGUAUAAUUUUCCUAAACAAGGCUCACUCUACUCUUUAUAAAAUUUGUUUGUAACUAAAUGUUAAGUAUGGCCAUACGACUUUUUAAAAAGUUUUUUUUUUAUAUGGGUUUUUGAGACAUUUUGUUAAAUGAAAACAUUUAUA
Long non-coding RNA from Humulus lupulus (European hop), 722 nucleotides. RefSeq lists it as uncharacterized. NCBI's taxonomy places the organism in Eukaryota, Viridiplantae, Streptophyta, Magnoliopsida, Rosales, Cannabaceae. The transcript is spliced from 3 exons. The record is from RefSeq and is a predicted model, not a curated record.